GUAUCUGGCAAUGGCACAGGUCGUUUCCAAGUUAGCGUUAACUGCUAAGAUUGCAGAGCCCCGGGUUAUGGCUUCUGUCCGCAGGAAACAAGAAAUAGGAACUUGCAGCCAUAACUGCUGAGUUGUUUUUGAAAUACCUGAAAGUUAAGGAGAGUGUAAGACAGCAUAAAUCAUCAUAUCUGAGGAAGAGAGAAAAGCCACAAGAGAUGUGCUGCAAUAGCCAGGAUAUGACAGAUGAAGGCAUCAGUAAGGAUUCAGAUCAACAUGGAAUUACAGUCAACCAAUGGCAUCUCCCGUAUGAACUACGCCUUGCUAAGAUAAUACACACAGCGUGUAAAGAUCUCCUCACCUAACAUCAAUGCAGAAACUCGUAUGUUGACAAACUCCACCUCCAUCCACCUGCUAAUUGAGCUACCUGAAGUACCUAUGUUCCAUAACUCCAGAAGUUGGUUAGGCAUUACAUUCAGAAUACAGUGAUUAAUUAAAUGAUCCAAAACGCAUCUUCCUGCUACAAAAUUCAAGCUGUUUAUCUGCAGCUAGUCAUGAUUGUAACAAUAAUGUCAGGUCUAAAACAAACUUUAACAAAUGUCUUAACAAAAUUUCUCUUAAGUUAAAUACAGGCAGAUGUUUACAAAAAAAAAAAAAAAAAAAAAAAAGGAAAGAAAGAAAGAAAGAAAAUCAGGAGAAAAAUAUAAGGAUAUCUGCCAACACUUAAACAUUAAAGAUUCAAAAUUCUAAGCACUGCUUCAACUACAAAUGGGAUCACAGCACCUGCACCACUUGUUGGACAAUUUUGAAUUUGAAGCUAUGGUCUUUCACAGCAGCUUCUAGCAUUAUUUCAUAAGUCUGGGUGCCAAAAUUUGCUGCCACAGACCUUCGCAUCAACUAUUGUUUAGAUGAAAGAGAUAAGACAUCUGUUCUGAGAACUUGUUUUCCUUGAAUAGUAAAGUUUAAAGUUUUUUCUUAUAUAUGAUGACAAAACGUAAAAAGAUCUACUGCAUAGAGAACAUUCUGUACUGGAUAACUGGAAACUGGAAGAAGAGAG
RNAcentral lists this long non-coding RNA (1045 nucleotides) under Phasianus colchicus (ring-necked pheasant). RNAcentral describes it as "lncRNA (ENSPCLG00000011003.1)". Lineage: Eukaryota; Metazoa; Chordata; Aves; Galliformes; Phasianidae. The record is from RNAcentral.